UAUUGUAAGGAGAUAUCAUGAGAUUCGAGGAUGGUACAAUUAUAACGUUUUAACAGUUUUCCUGAAUUAGUAUGAGAUUCUCGCUCAUUGUUAUACUUGCAUUGGUGCAGUGUAAUCUUAUGUACAUUUGGGAAUUGGGAAAGAACCAAAAUUAGUAGGAUCAACAACCUCUGAUGGAUGUACGAAAAUUGAAUUUCCUAAUUUAAUGGGACAUCGAUAACAAUGGGAGACCUCAUGAUAAAUUGAUAUUCUAUCAUUAGCAUAUCAGCAAAUUCACGUAAUAAAGAGGAAUUUUCCACAGUACAAUGCGAAAUCAUGUGGAGCGGUACUAUCCACUAAAAUAGAGCGCUUGUGGACUUUUUCAAGACCUAGAUGAUCUUCCUGACCAACACGAACUCCUUAAUAGGCAUAGGGAUAACUCAUUCGCAAUGUUAUCCAGCUUCUAGAAGAAACGUUAUUUCAAGAAUAAUCAAGAUAUCGAAGGAGAGAAAGAGCCAGAUGGGAAAUGUGAUUGUACAUAUGACCUGUAUAAAUAUUUACGAAUGAUGAGCUACUCACUGAGGAGCAACUGGUACAAGUGUUGUAUGCCUUUGGUCACGUAGCCAUAAAGUGGUUGGGACAAGAAUUUUCUCCCCAUAUAUUGGUUGGGAAAGUAGAAUGAUCAUUUGAAGCAUAUGAAGGAAAAUAGUAAAAAAUACGAAACAUAUCAAACAGAGGAGCUAAAUUAUUUUUUCAAUAUUCUAUCGAGUUUUUCCUGAAGAAUGACCGAAAUUUCCAGCUUUAUCGUCAAUUCCCAGUAGAAUGCAAAUGAAUAAUAGUUCAAUAGGACCAAGGCUGGAUGGGAACACGUACAUUCGAAGUGUUUCAUUGACUUGCAAAAACGUUUUUGGUUGAUGCAAAUUCUAGGACAGGCUUUAGAAUUUUCCAGCAGAACCUGGACUAAACAAAAAUGAUACUUUUUGUAGUCUCCCUCAGUUUCCUCAAUUUUAAAACUUUAAUAUACUUAUCUAACCCAAAUAACGAGUUUGUUAUCGGAAAUUGCAUAUAUAGUUUCCUUAUUUCCUAUCAUUGAGAUAUUAAUAAAUAUAUCAUCUUUGCAUAUGGGGAAAAAAAAUCUCUUCCAAUUUCAACUUUUGAGGUAGCUAUGGAGAAAGAAAUAUGGUAUAUGGUACAUCAUCAGCACUCAUCACAGUUCUAUAAAGCGAGAAGAGAUACCUAAUUGUAAUUUUUCAUGAAACGUUGUUUGGAUUUUUUCAAUAAUUAAACCGGAUAUCGAAAAAAAAGUGUUCAAAGGGACCCGCGGACAAUUCUUCCUUUGGUAAAUACUUCCUGCUCAAAGCGUUAGUCGAUAAGUUCACGAGGAAAUUGAUGUUAUUGCGCGAUUUCAUGGCCAUGUUUAACAUGCGGAUUUUCGAAGGAUCUACAACUAGGAUAAAAGUGUUAAAAAUGGAUGAAAAAGUUACUCAAAUGAAGAAAAGUACAAAGAAAAUUUCUCCAU
Molecule: long non-coding RNA, 1498 nt
Organism: Coccinella septempunctata (seven-spotted ladybird)
Lineage: Eukaryota; Metazoa; Arthropoda; Insecta; Coleoptera; Coccinellidae
Exons: 4
Source: RefSeq, a predicted model, not a curated record